This 235-nucleotide ribosomal RNA is filed under the name uncultured Staphylococcus sp. RNAcentral describes it as "partial 16S ribosomal RNA". It matches the Rfam family "Bacterial small subunit ribosomal RNA", at positions 105 to 334 of the family's 1533-position model. The record is from RNAcentral. Lineage: Bacteria; Bacillati; Bacillota; Bacilli; Caryophanales; Staphylococcaceae.
GGUGAGUAACACGUGGAUAACCUACCUAUAAGACUGGGAUAACUUCGGGAAACCGGAGCUAAUACCGGAUAAUAUAUUGAACCGCAUGGUUCAAUAGUGAAAGACGGUUUUGCUGUCACUUAUAGAUGGAUCCGCGCCGCAUUAGCUAGUUGGUAAGGUAACGGCUUACCAAGGCAACGAUGCGUAGCCGACCUGAGAGGGUGAUCGGCCACACUGGAACUGAGACACGGUCCAG